Long non-coding RNA from Amblyraja radiata (thorny skate), 115 nucleotides. RefSeq lists it as uncharacterized. The record is from RefSeq and is a predicted model, not a curated record. The transcript has 3 exons. Lineage: Eukaryota; Metazoa; Chordata; Chondrichthyes; Rajiformes; Rajidae.
CUUAGUCAUUCAAACUGAGAAUAACUGGGAGAAUGGAAUUUGGAUUCAGUUCAAUUUAUUGUCAUUGUCUUCAAUUAAAGACAACAAAAUACUAUUUUCCUUAGUCAUACAAAUU